UACGGGGGGGGCAAGCGUUGUUCGGAAUUACUGGGCGUAAAGGGUUUGUAGGUGGCCUGCUAAGUCAGACGUGAAAUCCCUCAGCUUAACUGGGGAACUGCGUCUGAGACUGGUAGGCUCGAGGACAGGAGAGGAACGCGGAAUUCCAGGUGUAGCGGUGAAAUUCGUAGAUAUCGGGAGGAACACCGGUGGCGAAGGCGGCGACCUGGGUCGACACUGACGCUGAGGCGCGAAAGCGUGGGGAGCAAACAGG
This 253-nucleotide ribosomal RNA is filed under the name uncultured bacterium. Its description in RNAcentral is "partial 16S ribosomal RNA". It matches the Rfam family "Bacterial small subunit ribosomal RNA", at positions 524 to 776 of the family's 1533-position model. The record is from RNAcentral.